CAAUAGCGUAUAUUAAAGUUGUUGCGGUUAAAAGCUCGUAGUUGGAUUUCUGCUGAGGACGACCGGUCCGCCCUCUGGGUGAGUAUCUGGCUCGGCCUUGGCAUCUUCUUGGGGAACGUAACUGCACUUGACUGUGUGGUGCGGUAUCCAGGACUUUUACUUUGAGGAAAUUAGAGUGUUUCAAGCAGGCGCACGCCUUGAAUACAUUAGCAUGGAAUAAUAAGAUAGGACCUUGGUUCUAUUUUGUUGGUUUUCGGAACUUGAGGUAAUGAUAAAGAGGGACAGACGGGGGCAUUCGUAUUACGGUGUUAGAGGUGAAAUUCUUGGAUCGCCGUAAGACGAACUACUGCGAAAGCAUUUGCCAAGCAUGUUUUCCUUAAUCAAGAACGAAAGUCAGAGGUUCGAAGACGAUCAGAUACCAU
RNAcentral lists this ribosomal RNA (422 nucleotides) under uncultured eukaryote. Its description in RNAcentral is "bacterial SSU rRNA". It matches the Rfam family "Eukaryotic small subunit ribosomal RNA", at positions 592 to 1018 of the family's 1831-position model. The record is from RNAcentral.